This 707-nucleotide long non-coding RNA is filed under the name Callithrix jacchus (white-tufted-ear marmoset). Its description in RNAcentral is "lncRNA (ENSCJAG00000054326.2)". The record is from RNAcentral. Lineage: Eukaryota; Metazoa; Chordata; Mammalia; Primates; Cebidae.
CCAUCCUCUGCAAUGAGCACUGACCUUUCUCUGGGCUGUAGAUGGAGUCACAGCAGGGGUCAACAAGGCCAUGGUGUGGAUUCAGGGCCUGGCAUUGGCCAGCCUGCUUCAUGCUAUAAGUAGGAGAAGCCUCUAGAGAGAGGCUGGCUUUUGAAUAUAGAAGGAUGUACAUUUUCCCUUCACAGAAAUCUGGCCUUUGCAACAGCCUAAAUGAAGACCUCAUCCUUUCUGUUCAAUGUCAUUCUUCGUCGAUCCUUGGAGGAGGCUGAGCAUAUAACCAGGCCAUGGAAUGGUGAAUAUGCAUCAUUUGGACAAUGAAGAAAGGCAAACCACCAAAGGCAAAAAGAGAAAGAAGGACCUCCAGAAUGGGAGAAUAAUUCCUCACUCGUCAGGUAAGCUGUACUCACUGUGUGUACUUCCUUGAUAUAAAAUGGUAUGGUGUUUGCAUAACCUGUCAGCCCAUGUACUUUACAUCAUCUCUAGAUUUACUUAUAAUAGCUAACAUAAUGUAAGUGCUGUGUAAAAUAGUUGUUAUACCAUAUUGUGUAGGAAAUAAUGACCAGAAAAAGAAAGUCUGUACAUGUUCAAUAUAGAAGCAAUCAUUUUUUCUAUUUUUUCCCCAAAUAUUUCUGAUCUGUGAUUGUUGGAAUGCCCAAAUGUGUGUAACCCACACCUAUGAAGAGCUGACUGUACUUGCUUUCCCAGAC